This 406-nucleotide long non-coding RNA is filed under the name Nicotiana benthamiana. Its description in RNAcentral is "long non-coding RNA (NBEN_LNC041524)". The record is from RNAcentral. Lineage: Eukaryota; Viridiplantae; Streptophyta; Magnoliopsida; Solanales; Solanaceae.
ACCAAGCUUGACAUCUUAGCCACUAGACUGCACAUCAAAAUUAACGGGUCCUUCACCAGCUUCAAUAUCAUUAACUCCAGUAAGCAAGUUCCCAAGAGGAUUCUGAUACUCCAUGUUACCAUGCAUCGUCCCCACAAAGUGUGCAUCAUCAAGUACAGGUAUAGGAUUCUGUGAAAUAUUUUAGGUGUCCCUGUCCUGGACAACAAAUAUCCCUUCCUGAAUCAUUCUUUCUAUCUCUCUUUUCAAAUCCCGACAAUUUUCGACAUUGUGCCCCCUGGGCACUGGAAUGGUAUUCACACCUUUUAGAAGGGUCAAAGCUUCUUGCGAUGUCCACAUGAUUCGGAGGAAUAGGUGCAAUCAUGUCAUAAUGCUUUAGUUUCUCAAACAAGCUUGCGUAGGACACUCC